This 1119-nucleotide long non-coding RNA is filed under the name Anolis carolinensis (green anole). Its description in RNAcentral is "lncRNA (ENSACAG00000043180.1)". Lineage: Eukaryota; Metazoa; Chordata; Lepidosauria; Squamata; Anolidae. The record is from RNAcentral.
GCCAACAUUCUGCCUAUUUGAGAUGUAGAUUGUUCUUGGACAGAGAGCAAAGCAGAGUGCUGAUUCGGCUCAAUUCCUCUGCAGCCUUGGAUCUGACUGACGGUGCAGCAUUGACGACAUGCAGAGGGGAUUUCGGGAGGAUCAAGGGGGAUAGCACUUGGCCGGCUCCCAGAUAAGACAAUCACACUCAAGGUGCUGUCCAAGUGUUGCCGGGAGUCCUGGGAACACCAGAGAUUGGGGACAAAUCUAUUAGAAUGGAUAAAACGAUCAAUUGCAACAGACCAGAGUUAGAACAGCCUUGCACUUCAAGCUGCUGAUCGUAAUAGACACUGCAGCAUUCCUCCCAUAUAACAAGGUGGCAGUGAGUGGAAGAGGAGGGGGAGGAUCUUCCAAUAUGUCAAGGUAUCUCCUUGUGCAGUUUAUCCAUACCUCACAACCUCCAAGGAUGCCUGCCAUAGAUGUGGGUGAAAUGUCAGGAGAGAAUACUUCUGGAACAUGGCCACACAGCCCGAAAGACAUACAACUACCCUGUGAUCCCGGCCAUGAAAGUCUUCGACAACACAUUACUGCACUUUUGUUAUUGGAGAAUUACUCCAGGCCCUUGUGCAUUUGUACCACUCUACUAUUUUAAAUCUGUUUCAAAGCAAAAUGUUAAUUGGUUUUAACUGUUGUUAUUUAGCACUAUUUUAAUCUGAAUUUUGUGUUUUCUAUUAUAUGUAUCUUAUUGUAUUGUAUCUUUUUUUUAAGCUACUUUGAAUUUCAGCCUAGAAAAAAAACAUGGGAUACACUAGUAAAUCAAAUGGUGGGUCAAUGUAUGUCAUGGGCUGGAUCUACAUUGCCAAAUAAGGCAGUUUGAACUGCAUUAUAUGGUCAGUGUAGAUGUCUAUAAUGCAGAUUGAAGUGUAUUGAACUGGAUAAUAUGAGUUUAUACUGCCUUAUAAUUAAGUUCAGUGCUGUUAAUCUGCUUUCAGAAACUGCAUAUAUGACAGUGUGGAUCCAACCAUAGUUGUGGGUUUGGCUGUAACAGGCAUGGGCAAACUUUGGCCCUCCAGGUGUUUUGGACUCCAACUCCCACAAUUACUGGCUGUCACUUGACACUUGAAGGCAGUAUUGUCUCUU